GCUCACUUAGGAGUCCCGGAGCCGCGCCGCUGAGAGAGCUGCCUUCCAGGCGCGGUUGGUGGAGGAGUGGCCCUGCGCUUUCCCCGGGCUUCUUGUCCGGCCGCUGCCGCCUUCGCAGCGGAGGCCGGGAGGGGAAUGCAGGUUGUGACAUCAACAGCUGGGUGCCCACCUGUACCCAUCCCCCUCAGUCUCCGUCCGGCGGGACUCCAUUUCUCACCGCUUCAAUCAAAUAUAUUGGGUUUUUCAGGAAUUUUUCCUCAAAAAAUAUCGUUGUCUAAUGUAAAAGAAAGACUAGUGGAAGCAGAGCAGGAAAGCUAAUUUUAGCUUCAGAUUUCCUGGGAGGAGAAAGAGCACUUGACAGGAGGCACACCAAAAAGCAGUAGUCCAGCUCAAAGAAUCUGAGCCAAACAUUUGCUGGUGGACCAUCAGAUCUGUUUCCCUACCUGUCACGUGCUCUGGUAGGUGUAUUGCUGAAGCUGACCCUUACAGACGGUUUCCCGUUUUCCAUUGCCAACUGACUUCUGUCUGUACUCAGCCAAUGGCAGACACUGGUGAGACACUAGAAGGAAGCGGCCAAGGCAUUUCUCCUUCCCUCUCUGUUUCUGGCUGUGGCUUCAUUUCUUCCAGGUUUUCAACUUCUGGAAGACCACCCUUCCCUCUUGGGUCCCGGAGCCUGCUGGGCAGUCCCUGCCUUUUCUCAGUGGCUUCUGUGUUUGCCUUGCUCUCACACAUGGUCUUUCAGUGCUCCUGACAUCUUUGUAAUUGUUUUCCAUA
Non-coding RNA from Leptonychotes weddellii (Weddell seal), 774 nucleotides. The record is from RefSeq and is a predicted model, not a curated record. NCBI's taxonomy places the organism in Eukaryota, Metazoa, Chordata, Mammalia, Carnivora, Phocidae.